RNAcentral lists this ribosomal RNA (795 nucleotides) under uncultured bacterium. RNAcentral describes it as "bacterial SSU rRNA". It matches the Rfam family "Bacterial small subunit ribosomal RNA", at positions 8 to 796 of the family's 1533-position model. The record is from RNAcentral.
AGAGUUUGAUCAUGGCUCAGAUUGAACGCUGGCGGCAUGCCUUACACAUGCAAGUCGAGCGGCAGCGCGGGGGCAACCCUGGCGGCGAGCGGCGAACGGGUGAGUAAUGCAUCGGAACGUGUCCUCUUGUGGGGGAUAACCAGUCGAAAGACUGGCUAAUACCGCAUGAGCUCGAGAGAGGAAAGCAGGGGAUCCGCAAGGACCUUGCGCGAGAGGAGCGGCCGAUGCCCGAUUAGCUAGUUGGUGGGGUAAAAGCCUACCAAGGCGACGAUCGGUAGCUGGUCUGAGAGGACGACCAGCCACACUGGGACUGAGACACGGCCCAGACUCCUACGGGAGGCAGCAGUGGGGAAUUUUGGACAAUGGGGGCAACCCUGAUCCAGCCAUGCCGCGUGUGUGAAGAAGGCCUUCGGGUUGUAAAGCACUUUCGGACGGAACGAAAUCGCGCGGGUGAAUAUCCCGCGUGGAUGACGGUACCGUAAGAAGAAGCACCGGCUAACUACGUGCCAGCAGCCGCGGUAAUACGUAGGGUGCGAGCGUUAAUCGGAAUUACUGGGCGUAAAGUGUGCGCAGGCGGCGUUGCAAGUCGAGUGUGAAAUCCCCGAGCUUAACUUGGGAAUUGCGCUCGAAACUACGAUGCUCGAGUGUGGCAGAGGAAGGUGGAAUUCCACGUGUAGCGGUGAAAUGCGUAGAGAUGUGGAGGAACACCGAUGGCGAAGGCAGCCUUCUGGGCCAACACUGACGCUCAUGCACGAAAGCGUGGGGAGCAAACAGGAUUAGAUACCCCGGUAGUCC